CGCCACCUCCAUUUUUCCCCAUUCUCUGCCGUUUCAAAUCUCAGGCCUCCGCCUAUUCAACUUCGAUUCGCCCAGAGGAGAAGAAGGCUUCAUCGGCGCACCCACGAAGGUAAACACCUUCUCCUUUCCUCUCUUUAUUUUCUCUUUUGGCAAAUAAGAAAUAUAACAGACUAAUCUUGAAGAAAACAGAAAAGAAAGAAGAAAUCGAGGAAAAAUAAAUUUCAGAUCACCUUUAAAAACUGUUUUUUUUAUUGCUUUUCUUUCAAAGAUUUGAUACAAUAUUCGUGUCUGUAACCCCCCACACAGAUUUCAAUCGGCCCUCUUUAUAGCCAAACCAAGAAAAAAAAGAAAAAAAAUCAAAUUUUCUCUAUUUGUUUACAUUUUCCUUCCUAUUUACUGCUAGUAUUUGCUGUCAAAUUGUUUCCCCUUUCUUUGCUGUUGCUAUCUGUUUUGCUGCUUGUUUGUUUGUCCUUCUUGCAGGUACAGCGUACGGAGGGUGGACGUGGCAUGUGGAGGCGUCGCGUGCGUGCGAGGGAGAGCAGAGAGGUGUUACUGCUGCGGCGCUGGGAGCCGAAUGUUGCUAGGGUUUCAGUCUCAGUUAGGCUAGGUGUUGGGCCUCUGUAAUCGAGCUAGGGUUUAGAUUAGUGGGCUAAGUGUUGUAACUGGAUUAAGCUAUUUUGGGCUAUAAAUUUUUUAUUUUUUUAUUUUUUGACUUUGUAAUAUGGACUUUGAAUUCUCAAUUUUAGGGCCCGGGCUAAAAUGGGUCAUUACAAUUUGGAUCUAGGUUGAAGCUUACUUUUAGUAUUGGCUCAAAUCCAAUGUAACACGAGCAGCCAAGUCUUUUUUUUAUAUAUAUAUAUUUAUAUGU
Molecule: long non-coding RNA, 868 nt
Filed under: Gossypium raimondii (Peruvian cotton)
Lineage: Eukaryota; Viridiplantae; Streptophyta; Magnoliopsida; Malvales; Malvaceae
Description: long non-coding RNA (GRAI_LNC001641)
Source: RNAcentral